CCCUUAGAUGGUCUGGGCGGCACGCGCGCUACAAUGAUGCAUUCAAAAAGUCUUCUGACCUUAGAAGGUUGGGUAUUCUCCAAAGUGCAUCGUGAUGGGAAUAGUUUAUUGCAAUUUUUAAUCUUGAACGAGGAAUUCCUAGUAAGUACAGGUCAUCAACUUGUGUUGAUUACGUCCCUGCCCUUUGUACACACCGCCCGUCGCUCCUACUGAUUGAGUGUCUCGGUGAAUUCUUUGAUCUUCUGUCGAUUCAGUUCACUGAUCCGACGGUGGAAAGUUGAAUGAACUUCGUCACUUAGAGGAAGGAAAAGUCGUAACA
RNAcentral lists this ribosomal RNA (319 nucleotides) under uncultured eukaryote. RNAcentral's name for it is "partial 18S ribosomal RNA". It matches the Rfam family "Eukaryotic small subunit ribosomal RNA", at positions 1470 to 1796 of the family's 1831-position model. The record is from RNAcentral.